CAGUCGCCGCGGGAAUACGGAGGGUGCAAGCGUUAAUCGGAAUUACUGGGCGUAAGGCGUGCGUAGGCGGUGAGUUAAGUCUGCUGUGAAAUCCCCGGGCUCAACCUGGGAAUGGCAGUGGAUACUGGCUCGCUAGAGUGUGUCAGAGGAUGGUGGAAUUCCCGGUGUAGCGGUGAAAUGCGUAGAGAUCGGGAGGAACAUCAGUGGCGAAGGCGGCCAUCUGGGACAACACUGACGCUGAGGCACGAAAGCGUGGGGAGCAAACAGGAUUAGAUACCCCAGUAGUCCCUGUCUCUUAUAC
RNAcentral lists this ribosomal RNA (301 nucleotides) under uncultured bacterium. Its description in RNAcentral is "partial 16S ribosomal RNA". It matches the Rfam family "Bacterial small subunit ribosomal RNA", at positions 509 to 807 of the family's 1533-position model. The record is from RNAcentral.